GCACAAGCGGUGGAGCAUGUGGUUUAAUUCGACGCAACGCGAGGAACCUUACCAGCGUUUGACAUCUUAGGAUGAGACAGAGAUGUUUCAGUGUCCCUUCGGGGAACCUAAAGACAGGUGGUGCAUGGCUGUCGCCAGCUCGUGUCGUGAGAUGUUGGGUUAAGUCCGCAACGAGCGCAACCCCUUUCGUAUGUUACCACCAUUAAGUUGGGGACUCAUGCGAUACUGCCUACGAUGAGUAGGAGGAAGGUGGGGAUGACGUCAAGUCAUCAUGCCCCUUAUACGCUGGGCUACACACGUGCUACAAUGGGUAGAACAGAGAGUGCAAAGCUGUAAAGUGGAGCUAAUCUCAGAAAACUAUUCUUAGUCGGAUUGUACUCUGCAACUCGAGUACAUGAAGUGGAAUCGCUAGUAAUCGCGAAUCAGCAAUGUCGCGGUGAAUACGUUCCCGGGC
Molecule: ribosomal RNA, 454 nt
Filed under: uncultured bacterium
Lineage: Bacteria
Description: bacterial SSU rRNA
Rfam family: Bacterial small subunit ribosomal RNA
Source: RNAcentral